ACCAACUCCGCUGGGAACAUGUAACGGCCGUCUGUAGUCACCGCUCGCUCUGCAAAAACCAACAAGCACUAAGUCGGCUUUCCUCAGCAUCCACUUUAUCAAAAGGUGGCAGGAGUGAGACAGUCAUACAGUUGGUUCAGCAGAGUCCUACAUAGUCUCAGCAGAUGGCUGUUCAUCAUGACUCUGGUCCUGCUCAAGGUUUCUUCCUGCUAACAGGAAGUUUGUCACUAUUACUUCUUAAUGCUGCAAGUGCUUUGCUCAUGGAUCUCUCUCUGCCUGGCAGCUGUCAGGAGUUCUUCCCUCUGAGUCGAAGCUCAGCUCACAAUCAAAAACAUUUUCAGUCAAGUUUUGUGGAAUGAUUUCAGUCACUGAGCUGAGAGGAGGAGCGGCACUGCCAUGAAGUGACUGAAGUUUCAAACAACCAUUGAAGGUGUUUUCUCGUGUGUCCGUUUCAUGUCGAGCAUCACAUUAUCAGCGACUGUACCUCUCUUCUCCACAGCGGCGGUACAAAGCCUGACGAAGCGAGGGACGGUGCUCUUCUCUCUCUCGCAGAGCAUCUCCAGACGACAUCCAAACACCUGAUCUGAAGGGUGACGAAAGACGGACACAAACACACUUUUUAUGUCAGUUCAGAAGUUGUUUUUCUUCCCUCCCUCAAAUAACUGUGCCAACACAUGAUGUAAGAGCUACAAGCCCCACUUCUUCUGCUGAUAAAUUGACUGUUCACUAUUGAAGAAAACCUCCAUGUUGGAUCUGUUCCCAGCAGAUAUGUCAGCUCAGCCUUGAUGAUGCAAUAAAACUAGUGUACUGUACUGUAUGUGCUAUACGGCUGAAAAAAUCUUACAUAGCCCUUUACUCCAGAGUGUGAUACUGAUCUACUGCUUAUGAUCAAACUGUCGGAUCUUUGAUUAGGACUGAAAUUUUCAUCAAAAAUGAGAUCUGAGAUCACUUGAUCACACUCUGCUUUUCAAAGUUUUUAGUUAGUUCAGUUUAUCUGAUAGCCACUCUUAAGUUUUCAAAGGCUGCAUGUUUUCAGUUUGCUGAAAGUCCAAUUAAAAAGUACAGAUUUAAAUACAGCUUUAAAAGAUAUAAAUUCUAGGACUCAUUCAGCUAAAGACAUAUUUAGCUGCAGGGACUACAAAGUAUAUAUGUGUUGGUAUUGUAUGGUAUGGUGCUGCAUUGUAUCAUUUAUUAUACAGUGCUGUGUCCUGUGAUAUUGUAUCAUUCUGUGUUGUGUUGUUUUGUAUCAAAUCUUAUACUAUAUCAUACAUACCACAUCCCAAUGUAGCAUAAAGUAUCAAGGUAUCUUUAUAUCUUAUUUGUUAACAUUGGAGCUUUUGAUAUUGUCGUUUUGAUGCAACCAGUGUGAGACACCAGGAAAUAAACAGCAUUGUUCGGCAUUCAUAUUUCAAA
Molecule: long non-coding RNA, 1413 nt
Organism: Notolabrus celidotus (New Zealand spotty)
Lineage: Eukaryota; Metazoa; Chordata; Actinopteri; Labriformes; Labridae
Exons: 3
Source: RefSeq, a predicted model, not a curated record